GGCCUUUAUAUGGUGGACUACAAGUGCGCUACUUUUUCUUUUUUUUAUGAAUAAAUAUUCAUAAUUUUAAAUCGGAUUGCUCUUUGCAAUUAUGAGCAUAAAGUAGGAAUAGCGAGUAAUA
RNAcentral lists this ribosomal RNA (121 nucleotides) under Climacostomum virens. RNAcentral's name for it is "partial Microsporidia small subunit ribosomal RNA". Lineage: Eukaryota; Ciliophora; Heterotrichea; Heterotrichida; Climacostomidae. The record is from RNAcentral.